Molecule: long non-coding RNA, 145 nt
Organism: Telopea speciosissima
Lineage: Eukaryota; Viridiplantae; Streptophyta; Magnoliopsida; Proteales; Proteaceae
Exons: 3
Source: RefSeq, a predicted model, not a curated record
GGCACCAUUUUCCGCCAUUCACACAUCUGAUCUCAAAACAAGCUCCACAGCUCAAGCCAUUGUUGAAGAGGGUAGUGCUCAAAGCUGCAGUGUUUGUCCCAUACCCCUGGAUAUGGAAACCUAUAAACUCAGAGUUUCUGGGGGC